Sus scrofa (pig) is the source of this 3728-nucleotide non-coding RNA. The record is from RefSeq and is a predicted model, not a curated record. Lineage: Eukaryota; Metazoa; Chordata; Mammalia; Artiodactyla; Suidae.
CACUGCGCCACGACAGGAACCCCCCCUCCCCCUUUUUAAACAGGGGUAUCAAUUCUGAAAAUACUUCAGAACCUUUACAAUAUGUGAGGCCUGGAGGUGCUCGUCUCCCUUAGUUCACCUGGGAAUAGUACAUUGUUCCUCAGGGACAGGUGAACCCAAGGUCCUUCCUGAAAUGAAAUCAUUGCUAACGUUGAAUCUGUAAGCCUUAGAACCAGAAGGACUCUUAGAGGCAUAACCCAGUCACCUUGCUUUACAGGUGAAAAAGUAGAGACUCAGAAAUGUCAAGAUUUAGUCCAUGUCAAACAUAGACCCUUGAUGAGAAGGCGCAUGUUUCAGCUCCCUGCUUAGAGCCUUUUGCACCACACAGGCCGCAGCCUGGGCAUGGGAGCUGGAAGAUAGACAAGGAGUGCCUUCAGGGAGGUGGGGAAGGAGCCUCGGACCUGGGUGGGGGUGAUGGUGAGGGGUGUUCACAUUCCUGGAGGCCUGGGGUAGAUUCCAGCCUAGAUGGGGGUGGGCAUUGACAGCCAGGCUGCACCUGCUUUUACUUUCACCUUAUCCCCCUUCUCGGAUUCCCUUCCCACCGCACCCCACCCUGCUGGGUUCACCAUUUGUCUUGAAUAGGAAAAUAUAUGGUGGCAUUUCAUUGGUAUAUUUUGAAUUUCACCCCAAAGAUCUUGAUGUAUUCUUGAAAGUGUUUGGAUUAAUAAAUGAAUGCAGGCACCAUGCUUGGGAGAUCACAAGCCUUCAUCUCUCUGACAGCCACACAAAGUGGCUUGUCCCCUGCUAUUCAGCGUAGCUGAUUAGGGAAGGACCUGUUCCUACCAGAAUCCAGAUGAGGGGAGGAUACUCAUAGAGGCACAAAGAGUCACUGCUUUGUCCUCAGUAUGAAGGUGGGGGACAGGUUGGCUGCUCCCUCCCCGAGUGUGUCUGCCCCCCCCCCCCAUGCGGGACUAGAGGGGGGGUGGAGUUGGCCAGCUUAGGGUUUUUGUUCAAACAUGGAUUCCUUUCCCGUUAUCCUCACAGGUUUUCCUUUGUAUUUCUAGGUCACCCACAGGAGUAAACUAAAACUCAGCUACUCUGUCCUUGACCGAACGGGAGAGACAAGGCAGAGUGUUGGCGGCUUGCUUUAUUCCCCCCCCCCACCCCCGUCUGCAUCUCUCUGUUGCCCUGAGGUCAGUCUGCCUGGGUUGGGACCUCAUCUCCAAUCAUUCAAACCUGUCUGACCUUCCUCUCCCUGUGCCUCAGUUUCCUUACCUUAAAGUAGGAAAAAUAAUGGUGCCCAGCACGGGCAUUCAAGGGGUUGAGUGCAGAAAAGCAAUAAGGGGCCCAGGGCCUGUGCCAGGCACAGCCCCGGACACUAGGCCCCUGUUCUCAUUGUCCUUCCCUCCUCCUGCCCCUCCUGGGCGGAUGGAAACACUAAGUGAGCAGCAGACUCGGGCUGCUCUUGGCUGUUCUUGCAGCACUUGGCACCGGUGUGUCUUCCAUCACGGAGAGCUGAAGAGGCUCUGGGGAAGGACUGACUGCCCCACGCUCCCCUUGGCUCGCUGGGCAUCCUUCCUGGGUGCCACAUGUGCCGUCCUGUGCCCCACAGAGGGCUCACAGAAAGGCGCUUGCACCACCAGCCAGCGUGUCGGGCUCAGAGCUGGCCGAGCAGGAGCACAGUGUUGAGUGAAUUCAGACCUGUGCAGCUGCCCUCCCUUGGAGUGCGGGUGUACCUACCGCUCACCUUAUCUCACGGGAGGGACGGGCCUUGCUCCUGUGGCCCCUGCUCAGUAGCUCUUGGCCUUCAAAUAGGGGAGAAGAGAAGGUGCUUUCUCGGAGUGAGAAACUAUACCCAUCGCUUUGGUAACUGGAGCUUUACAUGUGCCAAAGGCAGGCGACCAGGGCUGAAAACGGACAAGAGGGAAGCUAAAGUGAUAAGAGAGUCACGAGAAGGUUCUGUGUUGCUCCUGCCUGGGCUUGUUGUGGGGCCGGCUGUGGAAGCAGCCCCCUUAUGCACACUCGCCCAGGUUUCCUUCAGCUGGGGUCAUCGUCCUGGCCCAGACUGCGGGCCUUGGCUUCUUAGUUUCAAGUGCCCCAUUUGCUCCAAGUCUGUGGCUUCCGAUGAGAUGGAAAUGCACUUUAUAAUGUGUCUGAGCAAACCUCGCCUCUCCUACAAUGAUGACGUGCUGACUAAAGAUGCAGGGGAGUGUGUGAUCUGCCUGGAGGAGCUGCUUCAGGGGGACACGAUAGCCAGGCUGCCCUGCCUGUGCAUUUAUCACAAAAGUUGCAUAGACUCAUGGUUUGAAGUGAACAGAUCUUGUCCAGAACACCCCGCGGAUUGACCCUGCUGGGCUCGCUUGCUGACUCCUCUCAAAGGUGAGCCUGUGGUUGGGAUGGAGUCGCUCUGGGACCAGGAGGGUGGGGGGCUCCGAGCUGCCCUCACACCCCCCCCACCCCUGAGAGGGUCGGGGAGAGGGGAGCAUGUUAGCAGCAGUGGUGCCGUGGGGUGGGGUGGUUCCCGGGCAGGAUGCGAGUGGAGACUUGCUCGGUCAUGGAGAAGAACCUGCUUAGCAGAGGUAGCUUCGUUGGGCUGUGUUCCAGAUGUCUGGGGCCGGUCUCCCUGAGGAGAGGGCCGGGCAGGAGAAGCAGCACAAACUCUGGGACAAGACACUGCCUUGCUUCCCAACUGCCUCGUGCUCCCUGGGUGGUGGGGGCAGGUCCUCACCUUAGGGGUCUCUGCUGCCUCUUUGGGGAAGGGACAUCACAGGCCCUGUUCGAGACAGCACGUGUUCUUGAGGCUUCCAGGCCGAGCUUGGGGCCCCGCUACCCACAGCAGAGCAGUGCGAUCGGCUUCCUCCCCAGAUGUGCACUUGCUCUCCCCAAACCAUCGUUUGACCCCCGUUUCUCCUUGGGCGUGUUGCUUUGUUGCCACCGUCCCCUCCUGUCCCCAUCUGGGCUGGCGCUUGUGCUCCUUGCUAACAGACUAAACCCGCAGAGAAACCCACACCCAAACCCGGACUCCAUCUCCUCUCGCAUCCGAGGGUCUGGGGGCCUCUUUCCCUCUCUCUUCCCGCCUGCCUCUGUUUUCUGUUUUCUUUUGUUCUUCGUUAGGUUUAUUUUCUUUAUUCCAAGUAAACUCCCAGAACAGCUGAUGAUGUCAAACUAUUCAGGGACAUUGGCUCUUUUUACCUUCGCCUCAAAAACUGAGGACGUGGGGCGAAGAAACAGCAAGGGGGAGAGUGAGGCCGAGGGAGUGGAGCCUGGCGCUGGCUGCGAGCCCACCUUCCUGGCACAUUUGGCUUCACGAUGUUCGGCGCCGGGGCCCCCGGACCGGAACCACGGGCGCCCCGGCCCGGCCUCGCGGGAUGCACACGGCCAGCCUCGGCCCCUCGGAACACGACUCACGUCUCCUGGUCCCCACAGGGACAGCCAGGCCCCCCCCCGCCCCCGUUCCUGAGAGGAGGCUUCGGACCCUGGGGCAGAGCUGAGCUGGGGACACCCGUGGGAACAGGGCGCCCCUCCUGCACUGACUUCCAGAGAUGGUUCUCCCUUUCUCCCCGAGGACACCAGACUGGAUGAGCGCGCGUUUGCCAGAAGGAAGAACCACCCGCUCUCCUUCCCUCAUCCUCAUCCCAGGAGGGAAAGGGCAUUUUCUUUUUCACUUUCGAAAGGCGUUGUGGGUCUGUCUCUAAAGUGUUUACAAAAAAAACUAUAAAAACAAAAAAACAAAAAACAGAAACAAAAAG